RNAcentral lists this ribosomal RNA (253 nucleotides) under uncultured bacterium. RNAcentral's name for it is "partial 16S ribosomal RNA". It matches the Rfam family "Bacterial small subunit ribosomal RNA", at positions 524 to 776 of the family's 1533-position model. The record is from RNAcentral.
UACGGGGGGUGCAAGCGUUAUCCGGAUUUAUUGGGUUUAAAGGGUGCGUAGGCGGCUUUUUAAGUCAGUGGUGACAUACCCCGGCUCAACCGGGGGGGUGCCAUUGAUACUGAAAGGCUUGAGUACAGACGAGGCAGGCGGAAUUGACGGUGUAGCGGUGAAAUGCAUAGAGAUCGUCAAGAACACCUAUAGCGAAGGCAGCUUGCUAGACUGCUACUGACGCUGAUGCACGAAAGCGUGGGGAUCAAACAGG